CAGCCAUGGACUAUUGUACUCAAUAUAAUUAAAUCAUGUUUAACUAUAAACACAGGUGUCCGGUUAGGAUAAAUGUUCUAAAUAUCGAUCUCAUUUUUCAUCGAUGGAGGUGAAAGGUUAUGUUACCGGAGCCGAGAUAAAAGUUGGCAUGAGAACUUUACGGCGGUCAGUCGAGUCAGUUGGCCAAGAGAAUUUUGUGAAGUUCGUGCAUCCUUCUCUCCUGCUCAUCUGUAUCGUCUAUCUCGGCUAUCCUCCUCUGCAUCAGUUACACUGUCUAGAAGAAAAAGGAAGCCAACGCCGAUCCGACUUCUCUCACCUUUGCGCCGACACCGUCCUGUUGUGCCUUUGACUCCGGUUUAGAACUUUCUUUUAGACUAUUUUGAAAGGUAUUCUCCCAAGAAAUUGUCGGAUUUUUUCUGUGUAAAAUCGGAG
RNAcentral lists this long non-coding RNA (432 nucleotides) under Androctonus crassicauda. Lineage: Eukaryota; Metazoa; Arthropoda; Arachnida; Scorpiones; Buthidae. The record is from RNAcentral.